RNAcentral lists this transfer RNA (76 nucleotides) under Chloroflexota bacterium. RNAcentral describes it as "tRNA-Ala". It matches the Rfam family "tRNA". From Rfam's summary of the family: Transfer RNA (tRNA) molecules are approximately 80 nucleotides in length. Their secondary structure includes four short double-helical elements and three loops (D, anti-codon, and T loops). The record is from RNAcentral. Lineage: Bacteria; Bacillati; Chloroflexota.
GGGGGUAUAGCUCAGUUGGGAGAGCAUCUGCCUUGCACGUAGAAGGUCAGGAGUUCGAACCUCCUUACCUCCACCA